This 250-nucleotide ribosomal RNA is filed under the name uncultured bacterium. RNAcentral's name for it is "partial 16S ribosomal RNA". It matches the Rfam family "Bacterial small subunit ribosomal RNA", at positions 524 to 773 of the family's 1533-position model. The record is from RNAcentral.
UACGUAGGUGGCAAGCGUUGUCCGGAUUUACUGGGUGUAAAGGGCGCGUAGGCGGGAUUGCAAGUCAGAUGUGAAAUGCAUGGGCUUAACCCAUGAACUGCAUUUGAAACUGUGAUUCUUGAGUAUCGGAGAGGCAGGCGGAAUUCCUAGUGUAGCGGUGAAAUGCGUAGAUAUUAGGAGGAACACCAGUGGCGAAGGCGGCCUGCUGGACGACAACUGACGCUGAGGCGCGAAAGCGUGGGGAGCAAAC